Long non-coding RNA from Trachemys scripta elegans, 2077 nucleotides. RefSeq lists it as uncharacterized. The record is from RefSeq and is a predicted model, not a curated record. The transcript has 2 exons. Lineage: Eukaryota; Metazoa; Chordata; Testudines; Emydidae.
UUCUAGACUCCCGUGCCUCCUUGGGGUAAUUGGGCAGCUCCAGGGGGAAACGAGCCCAUUUGGCUAACAAAUGGCGACCACGAAGGGACUUCUCUCCCUGUAGAGGGCACUGACCGACGGCCGAGGGCGAUUCCGAGGAGUGGCCACCUCGAGCGGUUGGUUUGCUCGGGCCUCGGAUCGUCACAAUCGGCCGGGGCGGCUGUGUCCUCUCUAAAGAGAACUCUGAAGGACACGGAAGCAAGACGGCUUCAGAAGAAGGGGAAGUCUGACUGCCGGACGUGGCCACUUCGGGCGGUAAGUGCGUUUACCUCCUGGGUUUGAGGAAUAACGCCCCCGAGGUGUGGGUUGGACAGUGGAAAUCCCCUAGGCAGCCUGUAUACGGGAAGCUUCAUCGAUACGCGGCGCCAUUCCAGGCUCUCCCCUUGGACCAGACCGUGCAUCCGUUCCGGAUCGGUGACCAGGUCCUUGUCAAGAAGUGGAAACGCGACCCCCUUACACCACGGUGGGACGGCCCGCACACUGUCUCGCUCAUCAGCCAAACUGCGGUCAAAGUUCUCAGGAGCGACAAAUGGACACACCAUACACGGGUAAAGCGGUUUCUGAGCCCUAGCCCGGAGACUGAACUAGCAGAAGAGGACACCGGCCCUCUGCCCACCCCGGCUCCGGACGCCCGGGGUGGCACAGGUGAAGACUCUACCUGGGAGUACCAGUACUUGGACGGACUAAAGGGACUGUUUAGAAAGAGAUAAUGAAAUUGCUGCUAAUAUCUUUGUUUAUAUGCUUCCACCACUAUUAUGGUUGGGAGAAUAGGUUUUUAUAGCUAGGGGAGACAAUAGCGAGUUCCUUCAAUCUUAGUAGCUGCUGGGUUUGUGGAGGUCCAGGGGAUUGGAAUGAAUGGCCUUGGGUAGCCCAGCCAGUGCCAGCUAAAUGGUGGAUUAGUAAUUUAAGUAUAGUCCACAAAGGAACAGAAGUUUGGGAUGAGGAUAGUAUCCCUUGGCGACUCUAUUCCUCUGAGAUGGGGAUCCUUUGUCUCAACCGAACAAAACCAGAAGGGGUGUAUGUGGGCAAAAGCCAAUGUGACUGGACUCAAUGACUAGGAUUUGACUGCUAUGAUCACCCUAGUUGCCAUACGUAUGACUGUUCUAAAUAUCAAGGACGGUGGAACCAUACCCACGUAAAACUCACUAAUCAUAGCUGGGUACAAUGUUCCUACCAACAGCAUACUGGCGAAGGCUGUAAGGCAGUUGGACAAGAUGGGUUCUUUGAUGCCCUCUUUCUAAGUUGCCAGCGAGAUAAUACCAACAGUAAGGAUCACGUGGUACGCUGGUAUCAGUGGGCAUGGCAACAUUCUAAUGGAACUCGGGUAACCCAUUUUAAUCAUUUUUGGUCUACUACCAAUAGCCCUAAAUUUGGUUGUAAUUGCGCUUGGAAGGAAGGGGCUGGGGCAUGGAAAUGUGAAUACUGCAAUCCUGAUGGUACAUCUAUUGUACUAGGGGGGCCCUUGGAAAUGGGUAACUCGUUGUAUUACGAAGAACCGGGCCCCAAGGACUAUCCCGAAACCUGGGAUGGCCCCUUCGCGAAUGGACAAUGGGCCCUAAAAGGCCAUUACUGGAUAUGUGGGCAACUCGCAUAUCGGAGAUUGCCUCCAAAUUGGUCAGGAAUAUGUUAUGUUGGGUACAUUAGGCCCUUGUUCUUUCUACUACCACAAAUUCAGGGAAAUAAAUUAGGAAUUAAGGUAUAUGACGACUUGAUUAGGGAAAGGCGGUCCGUUGAUUCCGCAUUAACAGCUGGAAGCUCCCAAAAGUGGGGAGCUCAAGAGUGGCCCCCUGAAAGAAUUAUACAGCAUUAUGGUCCAGCCACAUGGAAUCCUAAUGAGUGGAUCUCAGGGGCCAGGGAGCCCAUUUACAACUUGAAUCGGAUAAUUAGGCUGCAAGCCAUCUUAGAAAUAAUAACUAAUCAGACGGCUGCAGCUCUCGAUCUUUUGGCCGAUCAGUCCACUCAGAUGAGGAAUGUGCUCUACCAGCACCAUCUAGUUCUUGAUUAUUUGCUGGCAGAGGAAGGGGGAAUCUGUGCAAAA